UGCCGGGUGGUGUAAGGGUAGCACAAGAGACUUUGGAUCUCUUGGUUCAGGUUCGAAUCCUGACCCGGUAGCCA
Molecule: transfer RNA, 74 nt
Filed under: Chloroflexaceae bacterium
Lineage: Bacteria; Bacillati; Chloroflexota; Chloroflexia; Chloroflexales; Chloroflexaceae
Description: tRNA-Gln
Rfam family: tRNA
About the family: Transfer RNA (tRNA) molecules are approximately 80 nucleotides in length. Their secondary structure includes four short double-helical elements and three loops (D, anti-codon, and T loops).
Source: RNAcentral